This 22-nucleotide non-coding RNA is filed under the name Arabidopsis thaliana (thale cress). The record is from RNAcentral. Lineage: Eukaryota; Viridiplantae; Streptophyta; Magnoliopsida; Brassicales; Brassicaceae.
GGGGCAAGAGCCAGGCCUCGAU